UACUGAAGUUACCCACAAUCUUUUGAAGUGCUAAGGGUAGAAAGGGACUCUAAAGGCCAGGCCAAAGACUUCUAGAAAUGAAACUAAGCAUAGCUUUUGAAAGAGUGACACUGUGUUUCCCUGGGCGCAGGUAAGGAAGAGCCAUAAGCUAAGUGCUGUCAGUUCAAUAUUCCAUAAACACUAAUGAGAACCAAGGUCUGUAAAGAGAGAACCUUUUGAAAUUGAAUAGAUGACCAAAGGAAGGAUCAUUGUCUAUAGACCAUGGGUUCCUGGAAGACAGAAACCACUUGUUUGAUACAUCGUAGCUCUAUCAGCACAUGGAAGAAACUGGUUUUCCUCUCAAACUAAUACAUGCGAUUAUUAAAGGUAAAAACAUAAAAAAAUCAAAUAAAAAA
Long non-coding RNA from Piliocolobus tephrosceles (Ugandan red Colobus), 395 nucleotides. RefSeq lists it as uncharacterized. The transcript has 3 exons. The record is from RefSeq and is a predicted model, not a curated record. NCBI's taxonomy places the organism in Eukaryota, Metazoa, Chordata, Mammalia, Primates, Cercopithecidae.